GCAACGUGCUUUCUAGCUUGUUGCUGUUUUGGUUAGGACUCAUCUAACACGCUUGUGCAUGACAUUUGGUUUCUCCACAUAUUUCUUUAAGAUAACUUUAUCUAUUAUUAUAUUGUUCACUUUGAAUGCCUGAUGCAGAACACUGACCUGUUCUGAGGCAAGUUUUCACUUUAUCUAUGAAGCCUACGAGGGUGGAGUCCUGUGCUGAGGAAGUCACAAUGUUCUGAGUGUGACAGUGACCUAGGUGACAUUCUACUUAAUAGUUCUAAAAACAGUUGUGCAUACUCAUGUAGUUCAGGUACUUUGUGCUGUGGUUUUUAUUUAUCAUUUUUAUCACAUAUUUAAAAUUAAAUGGAGAAGAAUUUGGAAGUAUUAUCAAAGAAGAAAAUCCUGCCCUCAUCUUAGUCUGAACGGUUGCGAAACAGGCCAGCCAUUUUAGUUCAUUAAUGUAAUCAUGCCAUUUUUUUUUCAACCUUAAAUUUCUUGCUUGAACUUUUUUCAAAAUCUCCCUUUUCAAAAAAAUCCUAUGAAUCUGAGAACUGUCCUACCAAGAUCUGUGAAGAAUUGAGUUGGAAUAUUGGUGGAGACUGCAUUGAAUCUGUAGAUUGAAUUGGUUCACUUCUGUUCUGCUCUGUAUGGAUGAAAGUAGGACUUAGAUGAUCAGACCGGUUUCCUUUCCUGCUUUUGGGAUACACUUGUGUGUAGCAGAUAUUUAGUAAGUUUGGGAAUGAAGAACAUUAUACGGACUGUCAAGUUAACACUGGCCAUUGGACACUCCUCUCCAUAGCACCUUUCCACCAUCUCACACUGGGAGACCUCAUUCUUUCCAACAAUUGGCAGCCCUGAGACUCAGGCCUUCAUCCCUCUCCCUACCAAGUGGCCAUAGAAGCCAGUGCAUUGUGGUGAGGCCCCAUCAAAGGUGCCCUAUGCUUUUUAAGUAUGGGGAGCUUCUGUUCUCAAGACAGGUUCUUUCAUUUAUUUUCUCAUGUUCAGAGUGGACUACGGCAUGCAAUCCUCCUGACUCAGAUUCCCAAGUGCUGGGAUUGCAAGCAUUGAUCAUUAUUCCUGCUUGAUUCUGGAGAAAUUUAAGACAAGCAAUCUUAAGAUCAUUGAUUUGUGGGUUGGUUGUUUUGCCUAGGAUGCUCUGGCUCAGGAGUCUGUCAGGUCUCUUUUUUUUUUUUUUUAUUAACUUGAGUAUUUCUUAUAUACAUUUCAAGUGUUAUUCCCUUUCCCGGUUUCCGGGCAAAAUCCCCCUCCCCCCUCCCCUUCCUUAUGGGUGUUCCCCUCCCAACCCUCCCCCCAUUGCCGCCCUCCCCCCAUAGUCUAGUUCACUGGGGGUUCAGUCUUAGCAGGACCCAGGGCUUCCCCUUCCACUGGUGCUCUUACUAGGAUAUUCAUUGCUACCUAUGGGGUCAGAGUCCAGGGUCAGUCCAUAUAUAGUCUUUAGGUAGUGGCUUAGUCCCUGGAAGCUCUGGUUGCUUGACAUUGUUGUACUUUUGGGGUCUCGAGCCCCUUCAAGCUCUUCCAGUUCUUUCUCUGAUUCCUUCAACGGGGGACCUAUUCUCAGCUCAGUGGUUUGCUGCUGGCAUUCGCCUCUGUAUUUGCUGUAUUCUGGCUGUGUCUCUCAGGAGCGAUCUACAUCCGGCUCCUGUCGGUCUGCACUUCUUUGCUUCAUCCAUCUUGUCCAAUUGGGUGGCUGUAUAUGUAUGGGCCACAUGUGGGGCAGGCUCUGAAUGGGUGUUCCUUCAGUCUCUGUUUUAAUCUUUGCCUCUCCCUUCCCAGCCAAGGGUGUUCUUUUUCCUCAUUUAAAGAAGGAGUGAAGCAUUCACAUUUUGAUCAUCCUUCUUGAGUUUCGUUUGUUCUAGGGAUCUAGGGUAAUUCAAGCAUUUGGGCUAAUAGCCACUUAUCAAUGAGUGCAUACCAUGUAUGUCUUUCUGUGAUUGGAAUAGCUCACUCAGGAUGAUAUUUUCCAGUUCCAACCAUUUGCCUACGAAUUUCAUAGACUCGUUGUUUUUGAUAGCUGAGUAAUAUUCCAUUGUGUAGAUGUACCACAUUUUCUGUAUCCAUUCCUCUGUUGAAGGGCAUCUCGGUUCUUUCCAUUUUCUGGCUAUUAUAAAUAAGGCUGCGAUGAACAUAG
This is a non-coding RNA of Rattus norvegicus (Norway rat), 2137 nucleotides long. NCBI's taxonomy places the organism in Eukaryota, Metazoa, Chordata, Mammalia, Rodentia, Muridae. The record is from RefSeq and is a predicted model, not a curated record.